AAGAAAUUUGCAGCCCAAGGCACAGGGGUGGUGCAAAGGAGGGAUAAGCUCUCCCCAGCCGUGCUUACAAGCCCCAGUUGUUAUCAGAGGAUCAGGGGGGCUUUGGAUCCCCUUUAUUGCUGCCCACCAAGGGCUCCUCGGGAGUCAUUCCCUGUGGGAUCCGUCCCAGGAGCUCUCCCAGCAAGAGGCUGGGAUGCUGCUUUUCCAGCAGCCAUCCCUUGGAAAGCACCUGGACAAAACUGACAUUAGCUGGGGGUCCGCAUCCUCCUGAAGGUGCUGACAGAACGGGUUUUGUCCCCUCCCUUCAAACUCCAUCCUGGGAAAUCCCACACCCAAACCUCUCUUGCUGCACUCCAGAUCCAUUUUCUGCUGGAGAAUUUUUUGGAGUCUCCUCCUGUUGGAUCUUAAGUGGGUUCUUCUUUGCACAUCCUAAAAACUGAACAUGGCUGGAACCCAGAUAUCUGCUUGAUUUGGGACUUUGGGAUCUCACCUGAGCAAGGAAUGUUUUAUAUCCCAAAUCCACCUUCUGCUUUUGGUAAACUGGCAGCAACCAAAUACCCAGCUACAGUUUUAGGAUUUGAAAUGUUGCUACAUAAAAAUACCUUGUUGCUGGCUUGCAUCUGGAAAAACAAACCCUGUGUAUACCUGUGCACAGUGGCCCACAAUUCCCAAAAAAUCCUGAUUAUCAUUAACCCAGCAUUUCCAAAGCAAAAGCCAAAUACAAAAACAAAGUGUGUUCAUCACAGAAGGUCCUUUUCAGAGCAGGCAGGGAUGGAUUCAGAGCACUGGGCCCCCUGUGGAGGGGAGGAAGGACCAAACCCUUCCCCUCCCUGCAUCCAAAAGCAGCAGGAGCUGGGGAGCAAAAGAGCAGGAGGUCACUGAGUUUUGGAGAAGAAGAUGCUGCUCUCAGAGGGAGGAGGAAGAUCUCUGCCCUGCCCAGCUGGAGCAUUUCCUGGGUUUUUUAGAAUCAUGUGUUUUAGAGUCAUCAACCAGGAGUAUUCGUCUUUAAGGAAGCAAUUCAUAUCUGGGUCCCUGAUCACCUUGGGAAGGUGUGGGGCUGCCCCUGCGUCAUUCCCCUUGCUCUGGAGAUGGGAAUUUUCCACCUUGGCUAAAGGGAAAUGAUGGCUUUGAUGGUUUAUAUUCCCAGCCAGGCUCCAAGUGAGGCAAGUGGUCCCCAAGGUUGGCAAAAUUCAAUAGAAUUUUGAAGAAAAGGAAGAAAAUCUCCUUCAGAGCCAGGCAGAUCCUAGG
Long non-coding RNA from Zonotrichia leucophrys gambelii, 1248 nucleotides. RefSeq lists it as uncharacterized. Lineage: Eukaryota; Metazoa; Chordata; Aves; Passeriformes; Passerellidae. The record is from RefSeq and is a predicted model, not a curated record. The transcript has 3 exons.